UUGACCUCAAAUCAGGUAGGAUUACCCGCUGAACUUAAGCAUAUCAAUAAGCGGAGGAAAAGAAACUAACAAGGAUUCCCCUAGUAACUGCGAGUGAAGAGGGAAAAGCUCAAAUUUAAAAUCUGGCAGCUUGCUGUCCGAGUUGUA
This 147-nucleotide ribosomal RNA is filed under the name Armillaria mellea. RNAcentral's name for it is "partial large subunit ribosomal RNA". It matches the Rfam family "Eukaryotic large subunit ribosomal RNA", at positions 1 to 147 of the family's 3401-position model. The record is from RNAcentral. Lineage: Eukaryota; Fungi; Basidiomycota; Agaricomycetes; Agaricales; Physalacriaceae.